GAUUUUCGACUUUGUUUGAUAUACAAAUCUGACUUAAAUGACGUCACACUGCAUAAUGAUUUUUAGAAAGAAAACGUUUCCUUGCCAAACAUGUGAUAAUUCCACUGACAUUGAAAGUGACAUACUUUAAGAGCUAUCAAAGCGAUCAUUUCGUCUGCAAAUUUGAGAUAAUGAGAAUUUUAACAAGCUACAACACAGUCUUCUGUAAAACGCAUUAUGCAGUGUGACGUCAUUUAAGUCACAUUUGUAUAUCAAACAAAGUCGAAAAUCUUGACAUACAGGAAAGAUUACACAGUUUUAGAAAACAAGUUAUAUUGUGAUUUUAAAUUAACUUUGCAAUCCAAUCAUAAAAAAAAUUGUCGCAUAGGCACUUUAAGGAUAUUCAAGGUGAAUUGAGAGCCUGCAUCGAUAACUAAUGAAUUUGAAUAUCUGCCCCAUAACGUUCGUUUUCCCAAAUAAGGAAUGUCUAUCCUUAUAUGGUGUUGUUUACAACUUUCGUGCAAACUAAAUUUAGACCGUACAGUUUAUACUGUUUUUCGAAAUAUAAGAUAUUCAAGCAAAAGUUUAAAUGUUUUAAAUACUGUUUUCUCAAAACAGAACAUUUCGUGCUUUGAGAUAAGAUGGCCAAGACCAAUUUGAUCAGUUAAUGUGUUUUUUAUGCAUAGUGCUUCAGCAGUUGACAUAUAUAGAGCUCAGCGGAAACAUAUAAAUUAUAGCAUCAGACCAAAUGAGAAUUUCGCGUCACGAUUUGAGACGCAGAUAUUCAAAUUCAUUAGUCAUCGAUGCAGACUCUCAAUUCAACUUGAGAGCCUGCUCGCAGGCUAUUAAGGAUAUGGUGAAAGCAACACAGCAGAAAAACGUCUGCGCAUGCGCGUGUACUAGAAAAAUUGGCGGGGAAUUUAAAUGUCAAAUUGUAAACAAAAACAUGAGUCAUGACUAUUUAAUUAUUUAAGAUAAGUGAAACAAACAAAAAAAUACACUAGACGGGUAGUUUAGACAUUAAUAAAAAGUUUUCUAACAUUUAAAAUCUAAAAAGAAACAGAAUUUCAACUAAACAUUAUCGUUUUAGACCGGGAGGCGUGUGAACAUUUCUUGAAAAAUUGUCGAAUACCGAACUUUAAGCCGGAGCAAACUAUUUUGAUAUAGAUAGAUAGAUAAACUUUAUUUAAAGAUGCUGACCCCGUCAACCGAAGCUGAUUUCCACGAGGGGCGUGCGAAAAGUAUACAGAAAAGAAUUUUAAAACUAUUUACAAAAUUAUAUAAGAUAUAUACGUGGUUGUGGUAAACAAAG
Paramuricea clavata is the source of this 1291-nucleotide non-coding RNA. Lineage: Eukaryota; Metazoa; Cnidaria; Anthozoa; Malacalcyonacea; Plexauridae. The record is from the annotation of a GenBank genome assembly.